AUGGCGAGACCCAAAGGUGAAGGAGGUAUGGGCUUUCGAGAUCUAAGAUUAUUUAAUCAAGUACUUCUCGCAAAACAAGCCUGGCGAUUGUUGGUUUUUCCAGACUCUUUAUGUGCAAAGGUGAUGAAAGCAAAGUACUAUCCUCAUGGGCACCUUCUGGACACUGUAUUCCCUCAGGUGACAUCGACUACUUGGCAAGGUAUUAUGCAUGGUCUUGAACUACUGAAAAAAGGUAUCAUUUGGAGAGUUGUCGAUGGCACGAGUAUAAAUAUCUGA
RNAcentral lists this ribosomal RNA (276 nucleotides) under Triticum aestivum (bread wheat). Its description in RNAcentral is "partial small subunit ribosomal RNA". Lineage: Eukaryota; Viridiplantae; Streptophyta; Magnoliopsida; Poales; Poaceae. The record is from RNAcentral.